GAUGAAGAACGCAGCAAAAUGCGAUAAGUAAUGUGAAUUGCAGAAUUCAGUGAAUCAUCGAAUCUUUGAACGCACAUUGCGCCCGCCAGUAUUCAGGCGGGCAUGCCUGUUCGAGCGUCAUUUCAACCAUCAAGCCCCAGGCUUGUGUUGGGGACCUGCGGCUGCCGCAGGCCCUGAAAACCAGUGGCGGGCUCGCUAGUCACACCGAGCGUAGUAGCAUACACAUCGCUCAGGGCGUGCUGCGGGUUCCGGCCGUUAAACCCCUUUUUUACCCAAGGUUGACCUCGGAUCAGGUAGGAAGACCCGCUGAACUUAAGCAUAUCAAUAAGCGGAGGA
This 336-nucleotide unclassified non-coding RNA is filed under the name soil metagenome. Its description in RNAcentral is "partial contains 5.8S ribosomal RNA, internal transcribed spacer 2, and large subunit ribosomal RNA". The stretch from base 1 to 120 matches the Rfam family "5.8S ribosomal RNA", at positions 35 to 154 of the family's 154-position model. The record is from RNAcentral.